UAACGCUGGCGGCGUGCCUAAUACAUGCAAGUCGAACGCGCGGAUCAGGAGCUUGCUCCUGUGACGCGAGUGGCGGACGGGUGAGUAACACGUAGGCAACCUGCCCAUCAGACCGGGAUAACCACGGGAAACCGUGGCUAAUACCGGAUAACCCUUUCCCACACAAGUGGGGAAGUUGAAAGGCGGCUUCGGCUGUCACUGAUGGAUGGGCCUGCGGCGCAUUAGCUAGUUGGUGGGGUAACGGCCCACCAAGGCGACGAUGCGUAGCCGACCUGAGAGGGUGAUCGGCCACACUGGGACUGAGACACGGCCCAGACUCCUACGGGAGGCAGCAGUAGGGAAUCUUCCGCAAUGGACGAAAGUCUGACGGAGCAACGCCGCGUGAGUGAAGAAGGGUUUCGGCUCGUAAAACUCUGUUGUCAGGGAAGAACGCCGACGGGAGUAACUGCCCGUCGGGUGACGGUACCUGACCAGAAAGCCACGGCUAACUACGUGCCAGCAGCCGCGGUAAUACGUAGGUGGCAAGCGUUAUCCGGAAUUAUUGGGCGUAAAGCGCGCGUAGGCGGUUCGUUAAGUCUGAUGUGAAAGCCCCCGGCUCAACCGGGGAGGGUCAUUGGAAACUGGCGGACUUGAGUGCAGAAGAGGAGAGUGGAAUUCCAUGUGUAGCGGUGAAAUGCGCAGAGAUAUGGAGGAACACCAGUGGCGAAGGCGGCUCUCUGGUCUGCAACUGACGCUGAGGUGCGAAAGCGUGGGGAUCAAACAGGAUUANAUACCCUGGUAGUCCACGCCGUAA
RNAcentral lists this ribosomal RNA (793 nucleotides) under Salinicoccus sp. D23.3. RNAcentral's name for it is "bacterial SSU rRNA". It matches the Rfam family "Bacterial small subunit ribosomal RNA", at positions 31 to 805 of the family's 1533-position model. Lineage: Bacteria; Bacillati; Bacillota; Bacilli; Caryophanales; Staphylococcaceae. The record is from RNAcentral.